CACAGAGGAUGCUGCCUUUUUCGAUACGAACGGCGAGGUGACCAGAAGAGUGCUGAAUUAUAAAAUUCCAAAAUGAAGUUAAAAGAUAGCUAUAGGCCACAAUUCUGGCAACUAAAGUCAUCUCUACGUUAAUCAUGUUAAAUAUAAAAUAAAACUGGAGAAGUCGUCGCAUUCAUGAACACUUAAAAUCCCAAAACUGGGUCCUUAGGUUGACCUGACAACGAUUUCGAGGGAUGAGCUCCGGCCGGCAUCUGGUGUCCGAGCUGGUCAUCCACGUCACCACUUAACCCUGGACCUGCUUCCUGGAGGCAUCGGCGUCUGCGUAGUGGAUUCCGUAUGUGUAAUAAAUAAAGAGUGUUCGCAAGUGCUUUAGGAACAAUCCAGGUUAGUUAAAAACUUAAUUUGAACUUUAACUCAACGUCAGUGGACAAUAAAAGUGUAGCUGUGUGACCCAGUGUGAAUAAAGACUUUCUCCAGAAUUUCUACUUCUUUUCAUUUACAUUACAACCCAGUAAAGGCGCCCUGAGGUUAAAUAUUAACAGUUUCAUGCCUACGUUGUUGCGACCCGGUGAAGUACCAGUGGAGCUGAUUUCAACUGUUACAAAGUGGCUGCCCACCGUUUGGCCUUAAAAACUGUGUUGUAAUGAUAAAUGAUUAACUACAAAUAUUGGACUCAAGUGUUAAAAUAACGCGCUUAAAUUUAAUAGUGAGAGGUUAGCCACGUGGAAGGAACUGUAACUCGUCUUGAUUUGAAACAAAGUACUACUGCUGUAUAAUAAGUAUAGUAACAAUAUAAUAGUUUCAGGUAUAUAAGGUAAUUAUUUUCUACAUUUUUAACUGUUUAAAUACUUAAUCUCAACUUAACUUUCUUUUCCUUACAUACCUUUGACUAAGAAACAACUGUAUUAGAUUUAAUAUAAAAUGUCUAUCCAAAAGUAUAUUGACUGUUUGCAUAAAGAUGAAUUGGUGUAUGAACUUGGUGUUCUUGGUGUAUCCACAGAUAGUGAUGUGAACGUGGAUGCCUUGAGGAAGCAGAUCCGCCAAGUCUUCAAACUAGCCAGAAGGGGGAGCAUGAAAGGUGAACCGGCUGGAACGCCAGAUGCAGCGUCGGAGCUCAAACUCUGCACACAGAAGGUCACGCGUUUAGAAUCAGAGCUUCCGGAACCCAGCAAGGUAGGUGACCGAAGACUUCUUGUAAAGCUGUCACGACGUGCUAACUACCUCAUAGAUAGGUUGGCUAGGAAUGCAGUAAACCUUGGGAAUCCAUAUGUGUAGAUUUACUUGGCCCUUUCCACCCUCAAAAAAAGGAAAUACCUACUUAAUAGUUUGUACCGACUACUUUAGCAAGUAUGUCAUGUUGCAUCCUAUAAGGAAAGCAACAGGCGUUUCUGUAGCUCAGUAUAUAGAAGAUAAAAUAUUUCUAGUUCAUGGUGCUUGUAAAACUAUUUACUUUGACAAUGGCCCACAAUUUGUAAGUUCUCAAUUUAGACAAUUGCUACACCGUUACGAAGUUCCUAAUAUAUACGCGAAUCCUAGAUACCAUGCUCAGGUAAACGCGGCCGAAAGAGCGAUAAGGAAUGUGGUAUGUGGUAUCGCAUGUUAUGUAGGUAACGAUCAUAGACGAUGGGAUGAAAACAUAACUAAAUUACAAUGUGCACUUAAUACCGCAGCAAACGAAACCACAAAACACACACCUUAUUUUCUCGUUCACGGCAGACAGUUCAUUAGUAAAGGUAAUUUACAUCACUUAAACUAUGAACAGCCCAUCCUUAGGUCAGAAGUUACAGUGGGAGAUCCUGAUGCGUAUGGUAAAAGCUUAAAGGAAUUAGAAACCAUAUUUAAAAAAGUACAAAAGUAUAUACAAGAAUCCCAUGACAAAAACUCUAGGCAUUACAAUCUUAGAAAACGCCAUGUUGAGUACAAGAUAGGUCAAAUAGUUUACAAACGUACUCACUACUUAUCUAGUGCACCAAAAAAUUUUACGGCUAAAUUAGCACCUAAAUUUCAAAAAUGUGUGAUCACUGCAAAAUUAUCACCACUAGUUUACACUUUAAAAACACUGGAUGGUAAAAAUCUGGGAGAUUAUCACGUCAAAGAUAUUCUGAAACAAGAUGACAUCCCAUAAGUAGAAUAUAAUAAUAGAUGCAGACUGAAAGAUAUGAUGUAUGAAUGUGUUUUCCAAAUUAAUCACUAGUGAACCCUUUGGUAAAUAGUAAGCUGUGACAGAGAUAAGAAUGGAAUGCAAUCUGUUAUUAUGGACUACAGCUGAUUCAGUUAGCUUAAGACGUAAACAUGCCACAUCUGUGUGCAUAUAACUAGACAUAUUUGUUUAUGCAGAACCUUUGAAGUAAUAGUACCAGAAAUGGAGUGAGUAGGUACUUUACGAUAAUUCUUAACUUAAAAAUAGGUACCGAUAAGGUUACCAAAACUUAAUACUUAAUUAAAAAACACGUGUUACCCUUAAUUAAUACUUUAAUUUAUUGGAUCCAAUUUUACUUAACGAAGAAAUUAAUCUCGGUAAAUACUUAUACACAAUGCUAGGAUGUGUAAGUAAGGUAAGGCUUGUUUCCUUAUAUUGACCGUCGAGUGUAGUUUCUGUACCUAACCCUUGGUAGGUACACAACUAUAGAGUUUUAUGAGCCCAACCACUCAAAAUGGGUUGGUACUCGUCAUAGAUAAAUAAAUAAGUAUUUAUUAAAAUUAGUAGAUUAGAAUAAAUACUGUUCUUAAAUAUUUAGAUAACGAAAAUAAAUAUUAGUGAUAGGUAUCGCGUUCAGGCGGGUGGUAUCGCAUGUUCACUGUCUGCCGAACACGCCAUUAGGUUACAAUAAGUUUAGACUUUUAGCGGUAAUGUUAGAAAUAAAUAAAUACAUAGAAAAUAGCUAAAAUAAAUAUAAAUAUAUAGGUAUAAACAACAAUUUAAGUAAAAAGUUUAUUCAUUACGAAAAACUUUUUAAUCCAAGUUGAACGGAUGUGUAACAUAAAUAUUACAAUCUUUAAGAUAAAUACAUAAAUUAAAUAAAUAUAAAGAAAUUUAGUUAUUGAUAACAACGCCCUCUCUGUGUGCUUCACAAAACGGUUAGGCUCACCUAUGAACCCAACUCGUGCGCAAGCGAAUUUAGCGAAUUAGAUAAGUAAUUAGUUCAGAUGUAAUCCGCAACCGUGAUAGGGGCGCAUCACAGAGGAUGCUGCCUUUUUCGAUACGAACGGCGAGGUGACCAGAAGAGUGCUGAAUUAUAAAAUUCCAAAAUGAAGUUAAAAGAUAGCUAUAGGCCACAAUUCUGGCAACUAAAGUCAUCUCUACGUUAAUCAUGUUAAAUAUAAAAUAAAACUGGAGAAGUCGUCGCAUUCAUGAACACUUAAAAUCCCAAAACUGGGUCCUUAGGUUGACCUGACAACGAUUUCGAGGGAUGAGCUCCGGCCGGCAUCUGGUGUCCGAGCUGGUCAUCCACGUCACCACUUAACCCUGGACCUGCUUCCUGGAGGCAUCGGCGUCUGCGUAGUGGAUUCCGUAUGUGUAAUAAAUAAAGAGUGUUCGCAAGUGCUUUAGGAACAAUCCAGGUUAGUUAAAAACUUAAUUUGAACUUUAACUCAACGUCAGUGGACAAUAAAAGUGUAGCUGUGUGACCCAGUGUGAAUAAAGACUUUCUCCAGAAUUUCUACUUCUUUUCAUUUACAUUACAACCCAGUAAAGGCGCCCUGAGGUUAAAUAUUAACAGUUUCAUGCCUACGUUGUUGCGACCCGGUGAAGUACCAGUGGAGCUGAUUUCAACUGUUACAUACUCUCAAUACUCUUUUUUU
Long non-coding RNA from Cydia fagiglandana, 3801 nucleotides. RefSeq lists it as uncharacterized. The transcript has 3 exons. Lineage: Eukaryota; Metazoa; Arthropoda; Insecta; Lepidoptera; Tortricidae. The record is from RefSeq and is a predicted model, not a curated record.